This 496-nucleotide ribosomal RNA is filed under the name uncultured bacterium. RNAcentral's name for it is "partial 16S ribosomal RNA". It matches the Rfam family "Bacterial small subunit ribosomal RNA", at positions 29 to 507 of the family's 1533-position model. The record is from RNAcentral.
AUGAACGCUGGCGGCGUGCCUAAUACAUGCAAGUCGAGCGAACAGACGAGGGGCUUGCUCCUCUGACGUUAGCGGCGGACGGGUGAGUAACACGUGGAUAACCUACCUAUAAGACUGGGAUAACUUCGGGAAACCGGAGCUAAUACCGGAUAAUAUAUUGAACCGCAUGGUUCAAUAGUGAAAGACGGUUUUGCUGUCACUUAUAGAUGGAUCCGCGCCGCAUUAGCUAGUUGGUAAGGUAACGGCUUACCAAGGCAACGAUGCGUAGCCGACCUGAGAGGGUGAUCGGCCACACUGGAACUGAGACACGGUCCAGACUCCUACGGGAGGCAGCAGUAGGGAAUCUUCCGCAAAGGGCGAAAGCCUGACGGAGCAACGCCGCGUGAGUGAUGAAGGUCUUCGGAUCGUAAAACUCUGUUAUUAGGGAAGAACAAAUGUGUAAGUAACUAUGCACGUCUUGACGGUACCUAAUCAGAAAGCCACGGCUAACUACGUG